This 422-nucleotide ribosomal RNA is filed under the name uncultured bacterium. RNAcentral describes it as "partial 16S ribosomal RNA". It matches the Rfam family "Bacterial small subunit ribosomal RNA", at positions 360 to 774 of the family's 1533-position model. The record is from RNAcentral.
AAUAUUGGACAAUGGGGGCAACCCUGAUCCAGCCAUGCCGCGUGUGUGAAGGAGGUCUUCGGAUUGUAAAGCACUUUCAGUUGGGAGGAAGGGCUUUAGGUUAAUACCCUGAAGUUUUGACGUUACCAACAGUAUAAGACCCGGCUAACUCUUUGCCUGCAGCCGAGGUAAUACAGAGGGUGCAAGCGUUAAUCGGAAUUACUGGGCGUAAAGCGCGCGUAGGUGAUACAGUAAGAUAGGUGGGAAAUCCCCGGGCUUAACCUGGGAACUGCUUUCAUAACUGCUGAGCUAGAGUACGGUAGAGGGUAGUGGAAUUUCCUGUGUAGCGGUGAAAUGCGUAGAUAUAGGAAGGAACACCAGUGGCGAAGGCGACUACCUGGACUGAUACUGACACUGAGGUGCGAAAGCGUGGGGAGCAAACA